CAGGUGGCGGAACUGGUAGACGCGUUGGACUUAAAAUCCAAUGGCCAUACGAUGGCUGUGCGGGUUCAAGUCCCGCCCUG
This 80-nucleotide transfer RNA is filed under the name marine eukaryotic metagenome. It matches the Rfam family "tRNA". From Rfam's summary of the family: Transfer RNA (tRNA) molecules are approximately 80 nucleotides in length. Their secondary structure includes four short double-helical elements and three loops (D, anti-codon, and T loops). Further hydrogen bonds mediate the characteristic L-shaped molecular structure. tRNAs have two regions of fundamental functional importance: the anti-codon, which is responsible for specific mRNA codon recognition, and the 3' end, to which the tRNAs corresponding amino acid is attached (by aminoacyl-tRNA synthetases). tRNAs cope with the degeneracy of the genetic code in two manners: having more than one tRNA (with a specific anti-codon) for a particular amino acid; and 'wobble' base-pairing, i.e. permitting non-standard base-pairing at the 3rd anti-codon position. The record is from RNAcentral.